UAUAAGUCAGUAUUUGAUGUACUUUAGAUUUUGAUUUUAAAAGAAUAAAUUUACUUUUAUGCUUAUAG
RNAcentral lists this transfer RNA (68 nucleotides) under Perumytilus purpuratus. RNAcentral describes it as "tRNA-Gln". Lineage: Eukaryota; Metazoa; Mollusca; Bivalvia; Mytilida; Mytilidae. The record is from RNAcentral.